This is a long non-coding RNA of Mus musculus (house mouse), 965 nucleotides long. RefSeq annotates it as predicted gene, 39472. The record is from RefSeq and is a predicted model, not a curated record. The transcript has 3 exons. NCBI's taxonomy places the organism in Eukaryota, Metazoa, Chordata, Mammalia, Rodentia, Muridae.
GGGAGGAAGAAUGAAAAGGAUGAAGAAUCACAAAAGUCUUCAGAUAUGCCUGGGAGAAAGUAUCUAGAGUAAGUUAGCCUCUGGCUAUGCCUUCCAGGACCUGUCAUGAUCCGGUUAAUUGGAGCAAGGAGACCCACCCUAAAGGAAGGGGCCACCAUUCUAAGAUCACCCAGGGCUGGAUCUUAGACAACGUAAAAAGAAGAGAGCUGUGGAUACAAUGUGGCCAUCUGCUUCAAACCUGCUACAUUGACUUUCCCCGAAAGGCAUAGCUUGUUGGAACCGAAGCAAUCGUCAAGAGCUGAAGGAGACAGUAGCCGGGAACCAUGGCUCUCUGGGGCACAGAGAGCAGCUUUGGAGACCAGGGAAACAUUGUCGAGCACUCCAGACCCAUCCAAAAAUGGUGAACUGGUCUGACCGGCCUCAGCCUCAGGAUGCUGGGAGUGCUUGUCAGCCUGACAGUGUUCUGGGCGAGGGGAGUUUGCAAUGCAUGCCAGCAGCCAGAAGCAGCUGGGCACCCUUGGCAAAUGGGCGAUGCCAGGGGUCCACUGUGGCUCCAGGGUGCCCACAUCUCCCAUCAUGUAUUCUAGGCAGCCUCCAUCUUCAGACCUACCCACUUUGGUAAAGCAAAAGACAGCUGCAUGAGAGGAAGGGCCCUCUGAUGGUGGAAGCAAGUCCCCUGGGACUUUAUCACCCAGGCAGGGAAGGAAGAGAGGAGAUACUGGCCCUUUGGUCCAUAGCUCUUGGCAUCUAACAGAAUGGAAAAUGUAAUAGUUCUAGUUGCAGGCAUCUCGUUUUCUUGUUUUGCUUGUUUUUAAUCUUUCAAAUCAAUAAAGUGAAUAGAAUAGGGGAGAAGUUUUGUUCUGUUUUAAAAGUUGUUGUAAUCCCAACACUCAGGAGGCUGAGGCUAAGUCGGGUGUGCUGGCUCAAGCCUUUAGUUCCAGUCCUUGGAAGGUAGAACUCUCAGG